AUCAGUUUGCCCAGUGACAGUAUCAUAGCCAAUGAGGUUUACCUAAGGCAUGAUUAUUGCUAACUGAAAAAGGAGAUCUAAGAGGAC
RNAcentral lists this small nuclear RNA (87 nucleotides) under Cavia porcellus (domestic guinea pig). RNAcentral describes it as "U4 spliceosomal RNA (ENSCPOG00000036882.1)". The record is from RNAcentral. Lineage: Eukaryota; Metazoa; Chordata; Mammalia; Rodentia; Caviidae.